GUUCUUGGAAGCAGCACUACGCUAUUAUGAUAUAUCUCAAAUUGAAAAGAGACAAAUAGGAGACGAAGAGAUUGACGAAGAAGCAUUGGAACAAGCUUUAUCUGCUGCUGUGACUUGUACAAUAUUGGCAGCUGCUGGCCCACAGCGGUCCCGAGUUCUUGCCACAUUAUACAAAGAUGAGCGUUGCUCGAAGUUAAAAAUCUAUCCAAUACUGCAAAAGGUUUA
Molecule: unclassified non-coding RNA, 225 nt
Filed under: Hevea brasiliensis (rubber tree)
Lineage: Eukaryota; Viridiplantae; Streptophyta; Magnoliopsida; Malpighiales; Euphorbiaceae
Source: RNAcentral